GACAAUUAGAUACAAAAAGGUGCCUUAGGACAUAGAGAAUGUUGGCUAAGGAGAAUAGGGAAACAGGUGAAAAACCUGUACGGUCCCGCCGCUGUGAGGAGAGAGUAGUAUCCUGUUCGGCUGUUUAUUUUUUACUCAAUUGAAAAAAUAAAUGAAGAUAAAAAAUCACUGUAUAUUGGAUAUAUGGGAAGAUAGAAUACUAUGUGGACAUCCAAGUCAGAAGACCUGCCUUUUUGUAAGUACACAA
Molecule: non-coding RNA, 247 nt
Filed under: Clostridiales bacterium CHKCI001
Lineage: Bacteria; Bacillati; Bacillota; Clostridia; Eubacteriales
Also listed under: 1 other name
Source: RNAcentral